AGAGUUUGAUCCUGGCUCAGGAUGAACGUUGGCGGCGUGCCUAACACAUGCAAGUCGAACGAGAAAGGGUUCUUCGGAACCCGAGUAGAGUGGCGAACGGGUGAGUAACGCGUAGGAAACUUGCCUUUUAGUGGGGGAUAACUACCGGAAACGGUAGCUAAUACCGCAUGUGAUUCAUUUGACCUUGGUCGAAUGGAUUAAAGGUGGCCUCUUCAUGAAUGCUAUCGCUAAAAGAGAGUCCUGCGUUGUAUCAGAUAGUUGGUGAGGUAACGGCUCACCAAGUCUAAGACGCAUAGCCGGCCUGAGAGGGUGAUCGGCCACACUGGGACUGAGAUACGGCCCAGACUCCUACGGGAGGCAGCAGUGAGGAAUUUUCCGCAAUGGGCGAAAGCCUGACGGAGCGACGCCGCGUGGAGGACGAAGGCUUUCGAGUCGUAAACUUCUUUUAGUAGGAAAGAACCGAUUGGUGGUUAAUACCCGCCAGUCCUGACGGUACCUACAGAAAAAGCACCGGCUAAUUCAGUGCCAGCAGCCGCGGUAAUACUGAAGGUGCUAACGUUAUCCGAAAUCACUGGGCGUAAAGGGCGCGUAGGCGGCAAUGUAAGUCAGCAGUGAAAUGUCACGACUCAAUCGUGAAAGGUCUGUUGAAACUGCAUCGCUAGAGUGCUGAAGAGGUAAGUGGAAUUCCAGGUGUAGCGGUGAAAUGCGUAGAUAUCUGGAAGAACACCAGUGGCGAAGGCGGCUUACUGGUCAGCAACUGACGCUGAGGCGCGAAAGCGUGGGGAGCGAACGGGAUUAGAUACCCCGGUAGUCCACGCCGUAAACGAUGGAUGCUAGGUGUGGGAGGUUUGAGAAUCCUUCUGUGCCGCAGCUAACGCAUUAAGCAUCCCGCCUGGGGAGUACGGUCGCAAGAUUAAAACUCAAAGGAAUUGACGGGGGCCCGCACAAGUGGUGGAGCAUGUGGUUUAAUUCGAUACAACGCGAAAAACCUUACCCAGGCUUGACAUCUCGGGAAGUUUAACGAAAGUUAGAUGUGCCCUUCGGGGAAUCCGAUGACAGGUGCUGCAUGGUUGUCGUCAGCUCGUGCCGUGAGGUGUUGGGUUAAGUCCCGCAACGAGCGCAACCCUUGUCGUAUGUUGCCAGCGAGUAAUGUCGGGGACUCAUGCGAGACUGCCGGUAACAAACCGGAGGAAGGUGGGGAUGACGUCAAAUCAUCAUGGCCUUUAUGUCUGGGGCUACACACGUGCUACAAUGGUCUGUACAAAGGGGGGCUAAGCCGCAAGGUGGUGCAAAUCUCAAAAAGCAGAUCACAGUUCGGAUUGGAGUCUGCAACUCGACUCUAUGAAGCUGGAAUCACUAGUAAUCGCGGAUCAGAAUGCCGCGGUGAAUACGUUCUCGGGCCUUGUACACACCGCCCGUCACACCACGAAAGUUGGUUCUGCCUGAAGUCACUGGGCUAACCCGUAAGGGGAGCAGGUGCCGACGGUGGGGUCGAUGAUUGGGGUGAAGUCGUAACAAGGUA
Molecule: ribosomal RNA, 1522 nt
Filed under: metagenome
Description: bacterial SSU rRNA
Rfam family: Bacterial small subunit ribosomal RNA
Source: RNAcentral